This 569-nucleotide long non-coding RNA is filed under the name Ananas comosus (pineapple). RNAcentral's name for it is "long non-coding RNA (ACOM_LNC002485)". Lineage: Eukaryota; Viridiplantae; Streptophyta; Magnoliopsida; Poales; Bromeliaceae. The record is from RNAcentral.
AGAGAGAGAGAGAGAGAGAGACGUCGAGAGAGGGAGAGCGAGAGAAAGCGGCGUGCGAGAGAGAGGGCCGGGGGGAAGGCGAGAGAGAUGAAAAUAAUACUUUUAAUUAGAUUUGGGGUUGUUGGAGGGUAAAAUUGUCAUUUUACAUAAUAUGUAGUAUUAACGGGUUUCAGUAAUGCAGGAUACACGACCCCCCUCCCGUUAAUAUUUUCGAUGUGAUCCUGCUCGAUUUGUAAUGCUACAUUAACGACUAGAUUACAUAGCGGAUUAACCAAACACAGUUAUCCUGGCAGGAUUGCCUGUAAUCCUAUCAGGAUAACUCGAACCAAACGCACCCUUAGAAGUAUCACCCACUUGGUGCUAUUAGAUUUUUAGCCUUGGAUCUACUCUUUGAUUACUAAUAGCCUUUGGAUCAAACACUAUUCCAUCUACCACCACCUACCAUCAUCAUCCCAACUUUACAUUUUUCCAUCCAAUGGCUAAAAACUCAAAAGCAGCAACCCCUUGGUACUUUUGAGAGUAUUCUAGCUCAUCUCUCUCUCUCUCUCUCUCUCUCUCUCUCUCUCUCU